GGCUGUGAAGGAGAUCUGGCUGUGACCUCCAUCACCCCAUUGAUACUCAAGGCUGAUUUGGUCAAUCUGGCGUCCCCUUCCUCUCUCACUGCUGCAUAUGCAUCGCUCCUGAAGCCACAAGCUGUCGAAGAGGAUGGUCACCUCUGAUAGAGGAGGACUGUCUCUUCAGUCAAGAGUAUCUGAGUUGCUGGGCUCCUCUGCUACACCCUUAAGUAGCUCUCAAGUUCCCAAAGAUCGAAUAUGGUUGGUGACUAAACUUACCAAACAGUGCUAGUUAUAAAUCAUUUUCAUCCUGGAGAAAUU
RNAcentral lists this small nuclear RNA (303 nucleotides) under Octodon degus (degu). RNAcentral describes it as "7SK RNA (ENSODEG00000023006.1)". It matches the Rfam family "7SK RNA". From Rfam's summary of the family: 7SK was discovered as an abundant small nuclear RNA in the mid-70s but a possible function has only recently been suggested. Lineage: Eukaryota; Metazoa; Chordata; Mammalia; Rodentia; Octodontidae. The record is from Rfam by way of RNAcentral.